CAUGCAAGUCGAACGAGGAUAUAUCCUUCGGGAUAUAAGCCGAGUGGCGCAAGGGUGAGUAAUGCAUAGAUUACCUGCCUCUAGGAUAAGGACAACUUUGUGAAAACGAAGCUAAUACUUAAUAACACAAGAGAAAAUAAUUUUCUUUUGUCAAUGGGAGGGUAGCAAUACCUUUUGCCUAGAGAGGGGUUUAUGUCCUAUCAGCUUGUUGGUGGGGUAAUGGCCUACCAAGGCGAAGACGGGUAGCCGGUCUUAGAGGAUGGUCGGCCACACUGGGACUGAGACACUGCCCAGACUUCUACGGAAGGCUGCAGUCGAGAAUCUUUCGCAAUGCCCGAAAGGGUGACGAAGCGACGCCGCGUGAGUGAGGAAGGCCUUCGGGUUGUAAAGCUCUGUCAGGAGUUAAGAAAUGUAAGUGUGCUAAUACCGCAUUUACUUGACGAAGGCUCCAAAGGAAGCCACGGCUAACUCUGUGCCAGCAGCCGCGGUAAUACAGAGGUGGCAAGCGUUGUUCGGAAUUAUUGGGCGUAAAGAGCACGUAGGUGGGUUUGUAAGUCAGAUGUGAAAGCCUUCUGUUCAACGGAAGAAUUGCAUCUGAAACUGCAAGUCUUGAGUGUAGGAGGGGAGAAUGGAACUUCUGGUGGAGCGGUGAAAUGCGUAGAUAUCAGAAGGAACGCCGGCGGCGAAAGCGAUUCUCUGGCCUAUUACUGACACUCAGUGUGCGAAAGCUAGGGGAGCAAACGGGAUUAGAUACCCCGGUAGUCCUAGCCGUAAACGAUGGGCACUAAGUAGAGGGAAUUACCGAUGUUCUCUCUGCCGUAGCUAACGCAUUAAGUGCCCCGCCUGGGGAGUACGGCCGCAAGGCUAAAACUCAAAAGAAUUGACGGGGGCUCGCACAAGCGGUGGAGCAUGUGGCUUAAUUCGAUGCAACGCGAAAAACCUUACCGGGGCUUGACAUGGUAGAAGUAGGAACCCGAAAGGGUAACGAACGGUAUCCAGUCCGUAGCUAUCACAGGUGUUGCAUGGCUGUCGUCAGCUCGUGUCGUGAGACGUUGGGUUAAGUCCCCUAACGAGCGAAACCCUUGUUUUUAGUUACCAGCGGGUUAUGCCGGGUACUCUAGAAAGACUGCCGUCGUCAAGACGGAGGAAGGUGGGGAUGACGUCAAGUCAUCAUGGCCCUUAUGCCCCGGGCUGCACACGUGCUACAAUGGUCGGUACAAACGGAAGCGAAGCCGAGAGGUGGAGCGAAUCCUAAAAAGCCGAUCUCAGUUCGGAUUGGAGGCUGAAAUUCGCCUCCAUGAAGUUGGAAUCGCUAGUAAUCGCGGAUCAGCAUUGCCGCGGUGAAUAUGUUCCCGAGCCUUGUACACACCGCCCGUCAAGCCACCCAAGCAGGAUGCACCCGAAAACAUUAUAUCUAACCGGGUUUACCUGGAGGAAAGUGUUGAAGGAGUGUUUUGUGAGGAGGACUAAGUCGUAACAAGGUAGUCGUAGGAGAACCUGCGGCUGGAUCACCUCCUUUCU
Molecule: ribosomal RNA, 1521 nt
Filed under: uncultured Planctomycetales bacterium
Lineage: Bacteria; Pseudomonadati; Planctomycetota; Planctomycetia; Planctomycetales
Description: 16S ribosomal RNA
Rfam family: Bacterial small subunit ribosomal RNA
Source: RNAcentral